Molecule: long non-coding RNA, 178 nt
Organism: Myripristis murdjan (pinecone soldierfish)
Lineage: Eukaryota; Metazoa; Chordata; Actinopteri; Holocentriformes; Holocentridae
Exons: 3
Source: RefSeq, a predicted model, not a curated record
GCAGAAGGUGGAGAUGACAUACUUGCAGGAUGAGAACAAAGCACAAGCAGCUAAACUGAGAGAAUUGGAGGGACAGAAGACUCAGGUGGACGAGAUGAAGACACAGCUUCAAGCACAAGCAGCAAAACUGAGAGAACUGGAGGGACAGAAGACUCAGGUGGACAGUCUGAAGACACAG